GUUUAUUUCUAGAUUCGGUUGUACAUAUUUUAUAACUGGAACAAUGCGAAGAAGUCUAGUGUAGCUUCUGCACAAUAAUGGCAUUUAAGUUCAUGAAGUGUUCCAUAUUUUU
This is a non-coding RNA of Octopus bimaculoides (California two-spot octopus), 112 nucleotides long. The record is from Rfam. NCBI's taxonomy places the organism in Eukaryota, Metazoa, Mollusca, Cephalopoda, Octopoda, Octopodidae.